AGAAAUGGGGUUUUGCCAUGUUGUCCAGGCUGGUCUCAAGCCCCUGGCCUCAAGUGAUCCACCUGCCUUGGCCUCCCAAAGUGCUGAGAUUACAGGCAUAAGCCAACACACUGAGCCCUGGGUCUUGAUUUUUGAAAAUCCAUUCAACCAUUCUGUCUCUUGAUUAGAGAAUUUAGUCCAUUCACUUUCAGUGCUAUUAUUGGCAGAAUGCAUCUUGCUCCACACCGUGCUGCCUGGAGUUAUGGCAGGAGUGAUGCAUGUACUGCUGUGACCACGACACUGGCCCUGCACUGGGUCCUACCUGAACCCAGUGUGGUACUGGGUCUCACCUAAGGCCUAUGAGGACUACUGCCUGUAUACCACUGAUGUUUACUCAAGGACCAAGGGCUCUUCAAUCAGCAGGUGAUGAAUCUUGCCAGGACCGGGUCCUUCCCUUCAGAACAGUGAGUCCCCUUAUGGCACAAGAUGGAGUUUCACCCUGUCACCCAGGCUGGAGUGCAGUGGCGCAAUUUUGGCUCACUGCAAGCUCCACCUCCCGGGUUCAUGCCAUUCUUCUGCCUCAGCCUCCCGAGUAGCUGGGACUACAGGCACCCACCACCACGUCUGGCUAAUUUUUUUGUAUUUUUUUAGUGGUGAUGUGGUUUCACCGUGUUAACAAGGAUGGUCUCGAUCUCCUGACCUCGUGAUCCACCUCCCACAGUGCCAGGAUUACAGGCGUGAGCCACUGUGUCCGGCCCAAUAAUUAAGUUUUGAAAGUGUUUUUGUAUGACAACAAUAAAGAUAGUGCUGGACACUUUCUCAAAAACAUGAUCAAUGUCUUCUAUAUUGCAAGUCACGAUAGUAUUUAGCAAACUUGCUAAUGAAAAUGUGAAACACAGAGAGCCUUCAAGGUGGAAGGCAGCAGACACGACUGUUUAAAGAAUGAGGACACCUCUGAGGCAAAACCUGUUGAAAUUGAAGAAGAGAAUAAAGUUGAAGAAAAGGAAGAUGCUGGAGAAACCCCUACCCGCCCCCCGGCCAGCCACUGUGGCCAUCAUCGUUAAUUUAUGAUCCAUGCAACACAACAUCAAGCCACUAGACCAGAAUACGGAUUCCUCCCAGUGAACAUACUCCAGCAAAUACACCAACAAGAAUGCCUCAAGGCACAGGGGUUGCAAGAAACACCAUCCAAACUGCCCCCCAAACUGUUCUGGCCAUUGACCUCAUACUUUUCAGGAGCUUCCCAGGGCAGCAACUGCCUAGCACCAGAGGACUUUGUUAGUACAGAGAAAUAGUUCAAAUAUGCUAAAAGUGGUUUUUGCAAAAUGAAAAGGUAAGCACUAUGUGGAGAACCUACAGGAGGCCCCUAAGUAUGGACUACAGGCAAAGAAGGAAGUCUUUGAACAGACCUGUGCAACUUUGGCCUAAACAACUAACAGUGCAUUUAGCCUUUCAGAAGCACAGUUCUAAGAAGACCUUAGUUCCACUGAACAUGCUGAUGAAAUCUGUUUGUGUACUGGAUUCCUGUCGAAGCAUGCAUGGGCAGCCUCAAUCAGGUUUACUGUGGAUUUAGUAGACCCAGCAAUUUCUGUUUAUAUGGGACUGAUGUAAGCAUGAUUCUAAAAAUACUCAUUAAACCCUACUUCAAAAAAUUAAAGCAAACUGCUAUACAUGUAUAUUGUGAAAAAGCUUUGUAUCUCAAUUUACAUGCAUUAAGGAAAUAUUUAAACAUCUAUAAUGUUUGGGUAAACAGGUCAUUAUUACUUUAAUACACAAAUUUAAAUUUAGUAAAGAUUUCCAGAUAUAGGACUAAACUUUUUCAUCGUAUUACCUUUCUUUAGUAUAUUAAUUAUGCUUCUCUUAAAAAUAUUAGUUGUUGUCUCGGGGUUUGCAAUGUGUAUUUCUGACUAAUAUAAGUCCACCUUCAAAUACCACUGUAUGACUUAAUAGAUAGUGUAGUUAACUUACAAUAAAAUAUUCCUAAUACCUUCCUUCUGCCCUUUAUAACAUUCUUGUUCACUUCAUUUAUCUGUAUGCUAUCGAUACCUGAUAUAUUGCUACUAUUAUUUUUUAAAAGAUAUUGUUAUAUUUUUGAUUAGUUAAAACAAAGAAAAAUAAAGGAUUUUAUUUUACCUUCAUUUAUUCCUUAUCUAUUGCUUUUCCUUUCUUUAGGUGGAUUCAAUUUCUGAUCUGUAUCAAUUUUCUUCUUCUUUAAAAACUUCUUACAUUUCUUGCACAGAUCUGCUGGUGAUGGAUCCUUUAGAUUUUGUUUGUCUAGGAAAUUAAUUAUUUCCCCUUUACUUUUGUAGUAUACUUUUUACUAUAUAUUUUUUAUGUCAAUGGUUUAAAUAUUUCAUUCCACUGUCUUGCUUGCAUAGUUUCAAAGCGAAUUCUGUUGUAAGUCUUAUUCUUGUUCCCAUGCAGAUCAGCUGUCUCUUGAUUCUGAUGCCUUUCAAGACAUUUUUUUGUCUUUGAUUUCCUGUAGCUUAGGUAUGAUAUGCUUAUGUAUUCACCUUAUUAUAAUUAAUUGUUAUUAUUAUAAUAUUUAUCCUUGGUGUCCUCUGAGCUUUCUGGAUCUGUGGUUUAAUGUCUGUCAUUAAAUUUGAAAAAUCCUUGGUAAUUAUUAUUUCAAAUAUUUCUUCUCCAGUUUCUCCUUUUCCUUCUAGUAGUCUAAUGAUAUGCG
Molecule: long non-coding RNA, 2662 nt
Filed under: Homo sapiens (human)
Lineage: Eukaryota; Metazoa; Chordata; Mammalia; Primates; Hominidae
Description: HSALNT0338679
Source: RNAcentral